This 583-nucleotide ribosomal RNA is filed under the name Pseudoalteromonas distincta. RNAcentral's name for it is "bacterial SSU rRNA". It matches the Rfam family "Bacterial small subunit ribosomal RNA", at positions 1 to 578 of the family's 1533-position model. Lineage: Bacteria; Pseudomonadati; Pseudomonadota; Gammaproteobacteria; Alteromonadales; Pseudoalteromonadaceae. The record is from RNAcentral.
UUAAUUGAAGAGUUUGAUCAUGGCUCAGAUUGAACGCUGGCGGCAGGCCUAACACAUGCAAGUCGAGCGGUAACAGAAAGUAGCUUGCUACUUUGCUGACGAGCGGCGGACGGGUGAGUAAUGCUUGGGAACAUGCCUUGAGGUGGGGGACAACAGUUGGAAACGACUGCUAAUACCGCAUAAUGUCUACGGACCAAAGGGGGCUUCGGCUCUCGCCUUUAGAUUGGCCCAAGUGGGAUUAGCUAGUUGGUGAGGUAAUGGCUCACCAAGGCGACGAUCCCUAGCUGGUUUGAGAGGAUGAUCAGCCACACUGGGACUGAGACACGGCCCAGACUCCUACGGGAGGCAGCAGUGGGGAAUAUUGCACAAUGGGCGCAAGCCUGAUGCAGCCAUGCCGCGUGUGUGAAGAAGGCCUUCGGGUUGUAAAGCACUUUCAGUCAGGAGGAAAGGUUAGUAGUUAAUACCUGCUAGCUGUGACGUUACUGACAGAAGAAGCACCGGCUAACUCCGUGCCAGCAGCCGCGGUAAUACGGAGGGUGCGAGCGUUAAUCGGAAUUACUGGGCGUAAAGCGUACGCAGGCGG